RNAcentral lists this ribosomal RNA (432 nucleotides) under uncultured bacterium. RNAcentral's name for it is "partial 16S ribosomal RNA". It matches the Rfam family "Bacterial small subunit ribosomal RNA", at positions 29 to 507 of the family's 1533-position model. The record is from RNAcentral.
AACGAACGCUGGCGGCAUGCCUAACACAUGCAAGUCGAACGAGACCUUCGGGUCUAGUGGCGCACGGGUGCGUAACGCGUGGGAACCUGCCCUUAGGUUCGGAAUAACUCCCCGAAAGGGGUGCUAAUACCGGAUAAUGUCUUCGGACCAAAGAUUUAUCGCCUUUGGAUGGGCCGCGUUUGAUUAGCUAGUUGGUAGGGUAAAAGCCUACCAAGGCGACGAUCCAUAGCUGGUCUGAGAGGAUGAUCAGCCACACUGGGACUGAGACACGGCCCAGACUCCUACGGGAAGCAGCAGUGGGGAAUAUUGGACAAUGGGCGAAAGCCUGAUCCAGCAAUGCCGCGUGAGUGAUGAAGGCCUUAGGGUUGUAAAGCUCUUUUACCCGGGAUGAUAAUGACAGUACCGGGAGAAUAAGCUCCGGCUAACUCCGUG